RNAcentral lists this ribosomal RNA (432 nucleotides) under uncultured bacterium. RNAcentral describes it as "partial 16S ribosomal RNA". It matches the Rfam family "Bacterial small subunit ribosomal RNA", at positions 29 to 506 of the family's 1533-position model. The record is from RNAcentral.
AACGAACGCUGGCGGCAUGCCUAACACAUGCAAGUCGAACGAGCCCUUCGGGUCUAGUGGCGCACGGGUGCGUAACGCGUGGGAACCUCCCCUUAUGUUCGGAAUAACUCCCCGACAGGGGUUCUAAUCCCGGAUAAUCUCUUCGGACCAAAGAUUUAUCGCCUUUGGAUGGGCCCGCGUUGGAUUAGCUAGUUGGUAGGGUAAAAGCCUACCAAGGCGACGAUCCAUAGCUGGUCUGAGAGGAUGAUCAGCCACACUGGCACUGAGACACGGCCCAGACUCCUACGGGAGGCAGCAGUGGGAAAUAUUGGACAAUGGGCGAAAGCCUGAUCCAGCAAUGCGGGGUGAGGGAUGAAGGCUUUAGGGUUGUAAAGCUCUUUUACCCGGGAGGAUAAUGACAGUACCGGGAGAAUAAGCCCCGGCUAACUCCUU